RNAcentral lists this ribosomal RNA (337 nucleotides) under Pisinna albizona. RNAcentral's name for it is "eukaryotic LSU rRNA". It matches the Rfam family "Eukaryotic large subunit ribosomal RNA", at positions 42 to 370 of the family's 3401-position model. The record is from RNAcentral. Lineage: Eukaryota; Metazoa; Mollusca; Gastropoda; Littorinimorpha; Anabathridae.
AUCACUAAGCGGAGGAAAAGAAACUAACAAGGAUUCCCUCAGUAACGGCGAGUGAAGCGGGACCAGCCCAUCACCGAAUCCCCUAGCAUGUCGCUGGCGGGAGCUGUGGUGUUUGAGACGUCAACUGUCGUCCGCCACCGGUCGCCGAAGUCCUCCUGAUCGGGGCCUCUCCCAGAGCGGGUGUCAGGCCUUUACUGGCGACUGGUCGGUCGGCUGCGAGCGUCCUAAGAGUCGGGUUGUUUGGGAAUGCAGCCCAAAGCAGGUGGUAAACUCCAUCUAAGGCUAAAUACUGGCACGAGUCCGAUAGCGGACAAGUACCGUGAGGGAAAGUUGAAAA